Molecule: long non-coding RNA, 487 nt
Organism: Pseudophryne corroboree (corroboree frog)
Lineage: Eukaryota; Metazoa; Chordata; Amphibia; Anura; Myobatrachidae
Exons: 4
Source: RefSeq, a predicted model, not a curated record
GAAAAGGAGCACAGCAUUCUCUCCCUCCAGGAGAGGUUCAUGUUGGGAGACAAACCGGUGUUAUGAAACGCUGUCUCAUCCCUGACACCGUCACACAGGACUCUACAAGUGACGGCAAGAACAAGUACUGAGAUCACUCUUCAGAGAACUCUUUGUUGGGAUGUCUUAGGUCAAUCAGUCUAGUGGGAGGAACAUAUCACAGUCCUUAUUCUUCUAUAUAACAGGGCCUCCGACAUCACAUCGGCAGCUGAGGGGAUUGUGGUUCCCGUGUUGGCGGACUCUCCAAAAGUUGUAAUGGUGGCCUUGAGGACACAUUUGAUAUACAUCGUUGAGGUGGUGACUCGUGCUGUCUAGUGUGGACAUCCGGACUGUGUCUUUUGUGGGCCAUGUGUUUUUGCGUGGACGAUUCCUGUGGAUGCCUCCUUCUGUGAAUGUGCCGUUGUGUGGAUGUUCCUAUACAAUAAAAAACAUUAAUGUUUUGCCAAAA